This 577-nucleotide ribosomal RNA is filed under the name Trigonopterus pseudogranum. RNAcentral describes it as "SSU rRNA". It matches the Rfam family "Eukaryotic small subunit ribosomal RNA", at positions 23 to 579 of the family's 1831-position model. The record is from RNAcentral. Lineage: Eukaryota; Metazoa; Arthropoda; Insecta; Coleoptera; Curculionidae.
GUCAUAUGCUUGUCUCAAAGAUUAAGCCAUGCAUGUCUCAGUACAAGCCAAAUUAAGGUGAAACCGCGAAAGGCUCAUUAAAUCAGUUAUGGUUCCUUAGAUCGUACCCACAAUUACUUGGAUAACUGUGGUAAUUCUAGAGCUAAUACAUGCAAACAGAGCUCCGACCGGAGACGGAAGGAGUGCUUUUAUUAGAUCAAAACCAAUCGGUGGCGGGUUCGCUCGUCAUCGUACAACUUGGUGACUCUGAAUAACUUUACGCUGAUCGCACGGUCAUCGCACCGGCGACGCAUCUUUCAAAUGUCUGCCUUAUCAACUGUCGAUGGUAGGUUCGCGCCUACCAUGGUUGUAACGGGUAACGGGGAAUCAGGGUUCGAUUCCGGAGAGGGAGCCUGAGAAACGGCUACCACAUCCAAGGAAGGCAGCAGGCGCGCAAAUUACCCACUCCCGGCACGGGGAGGUAGUGACGAAAAAUAACGAUACGGGACUCAUCCGAGGCCCCGUAAUCGGAAUGAGUACACUCUAAACCCUUUAACGAGGAUCAAUUGGAGGGCAAGUCUGGUGCCAGCAGCCGCGG